CGGGUGACGGAGAAUUAGGGUUCGAUUCCGGAGAGGGAGCCUGAGAAACGGCUACCACAUCCAAGGAAGGCAGCAGGCGCGCAAAUUACCCAAUCCCGACUCGGGGAGGUAGUGACAAUAAAUAACAAUGCCGGGCUAUUGUAGUCUGGCAAUUGGAAUGAGUACAAUCUAAAUCCCUUAACGAGGAACAAUUGGAGGGCAAGUCUGGUGCCAGCAGCCGCGGUAAUUCCAGCUCCAAUAGCGUAUAUUAAAGUUGUUGCAGUUAAAAAGCUCGUAGUUGGAUUUCGGGGUGGCCUGCCUGGUCCGCAAGGUGAGUACUGGUCAGCCGCCCUUCCUCUCGAAAGCCCCGACUGCUCUUCACUGUAGUGGUCGGGUAGUUCGGGACGUUUACUUUGAAAAAAUUAGAGUGUUCAAGGCAGGCUAUCGCCUGAAUACAUUAGCAUGGAAUAAUGGAAGAGGACCUCGGUCUAUUUUGUUGGUUUCUAGGGCCGAAGUAAUGAUUAAGAGGGACAGUUGGGGGCAUUCGUAUUUUCAGAGGUGAAAUUCUUGGAUUUAUGAAAGACGAACUAGUGCGAAAGCAUUUGCCAAGGAUGUUUUCAUUAAUCAAGAACGAAAGUUGGGG
Molecule: ribosomal RNA, 622 nt
Filed under: Halichondria japonica
Lineage: Eukaryota; Metazoa; Porifera; Demospongiae; Suberitida; Halichondriidae
Description: SSU rRNA
Rfam family: Eukaryotic small subunit ribosomal RNA
Source: RNAcentral